UGGGCCAUUGAGACUUUUCAUAUUUCUACUGU
RNAcentral lists this non-coding RNA (32 nucleotides) under Mus musculus (house mouse). The record is from RNAcentral. Lineage: Eukaryota; Metazoa; Chordata; Mammalia; Rodentia; Muridae.